RNAcentral lists this unclassified non-coding RNA (2183 nucleotides) under Zea mays. RNAcentral's name for it is "misc RNA Zm00001eb182230". Lineage: Eukaryota; Viridiplantae; Streptophyta; Magnoliopsida; Poales; Poaceae. The record is from RNAcentral.
UGGAUUUUUUUUCCCCUGCGCCGCUCAUCUGCUGUUCUUAUCCCAUGCCGCCGUUCGCUGGCCGCGUGUACUCUGGGGUCGUCGUGCUGGCCGCCUCCCUCGUCUUCUCCUCAGGCCCGCCCGCGCUCUCCCUGCCUUCUGCACGCGCGCAGCUCGCCCCAGAUCCUCCCAGCCAUGACGCGCGCUUCCCUGUGCCCCGCGUUCCUUCUCUGCACUGCUUCCUCUGCUCCAUCUUCAAGCACGCCGCGCUCCAAAUCGCCUGCUGUUCCUCUUCCCCAGCCAUGGCCGCGCCUGGCUCGCCGGCGUUCAGGCCGCGGCUUCCUCCUCCAACUCCGGUCGGCCAAGAGCCUAGCUGCCCCCUUGCUUCUCUCCCUCCAUUUCCCAGAAGCGCCCUGUCCCUGUCGAAGCCCUUGUAUGGCGCGCGUGGAUUUCUCCUCCUCCAUCCCCAGCUAGCCUGCGAGCUCCUCCCUCCUCCCUGCAUCCAUGGAUCUCGGCGCCCAUCUCCAUGGCUCGCCCUGCGUCCAGCCGCCGCGCCCGGUUCCGAGUCCCUUUCCUGGCCGAGUUCCCUGCUCCAUCUCUGCCCUCUGCCGGCGCUCCAGCUCCUCCAUCCAUGGCCAUGCCCUGCUGCUCGUCGGUGCUCGCCGCGGGAGACGGCGCUUGGUCGCCCAACCUUCCUGCUCCUCCCUGCUGUCGUGUCCCUGGCUCCUGCUCCACUCGUUGCGUGCGCCUGCGCUGCCCAGAUGGCCGUCUGUCCUUCCGUGUCACGCCUAGCUCCAGCUCGGUCUCUGCUCGAUGCCCAGCGUCGCGCAGCACGGCUCGGCCCGACGGCAUAGAGUGUCUCGUCAUCGCCGGACUUGUCUCGCCGACCAUCGUGGCGUUGUUAUUUCCUGCUACGCCGUGAAAUCGUCGAGCUCCGGUGUUUAGUGUCGAGGUCGCUGUGUCGUUGUCGCUCUGACUUCCGUGUCCUCGCGCGGUAUGCGGCGGUCGUGUUCACAUCCGCGACAUCAGCAUCCCCAUCGCCGUUGAACUCCCAGACAUGUUCCUCUCUGUUCGCUUGUCCUCAGUUCCGGCCUGGUCUCGCGCGCGUGAUUUUGAAACUCUGCACGUUCGUCGUGUCGCGAUGUGUGCCGAUAUUCUCUACCGGCAGACCUCGCCGUCAACCAUGUUCAAGUAAUUGCUGGCCCCUCAGACCCGGCCAUUGUUUGCCGCGGAACCACUGUCGGAUUAAUUUUUAGCUUCCCUCGCGCGGCUCUUUGGAGAUAAUCUCCUCACCGGCUGUCGCUCCCAAUCUUCAGCUCAUCGACUCACCGUCGUGUUUCUUGUUCUCCCUCGUCGGUCGGCCUCGUCGUGGCUAAGUAUGUCCGCCGUGCUAUGUGCUUCGGUCUUUGGUCGCUGCCUCUUGCUCACCAUCCCCUAUUCGAUCUCGUCGUCAAGCUUCGCCUCAGCCUUAGCUCGUCGUUCACGCUCGUCUGAUAUGCGACUGAGGACUUCAGCUGAAGGCCGUCGUCAGGCAACUACCAAGUCGAGUUGUGAUGUGGUGCGAUAAUUAAUCACGUGAUGUGGAAGAUGACUCAAGUCGAUCCAAAGUGCGGGCUACUCCGCAUGGAGAUGCUGAUGAACGAACCUGCCUGAUCAAGUGUUAGGACAAGGAUGAUCGUCAAGUGAUCGACGUCUAACAAACACUAACUUAGUGUUUCUUUCAGGCAAACCCCGGUGCAUUUGCCCCUUCCUUGUGUUUUAAAUGCUUUUUCACCUUAUCUGAUGCAUUAGGUGAUAGGAGUUGUGUGAUAAACAAUUGAUGCAUUACCAUUCCUUGAAAACUCCUUAAUCCCAGUUUUAUAAAAAGAACUGAUAAUGCUUAGCCCUGCUUAGAAACUGAAAAAUCAUUUGUUUUCAAAAAGAAUGAUUGUGGAACAUUGGUUAUGGGCCUUUCGUUUCAAAAAUCAAAGCAAACUUAUGAUGAUGAUUCCACUUCGGCCGGAGUGAGUUCAUCAUUUGGAAAAGAGUACCCCUGUCGGGUACCAAAAAUGGGGAAAAUGGUUUGAAUACAUCUACACCAGACGCUGAGCGGACGUGGUCGCCCGUCUGUGUCGAUUAAGGACCGUUCGAUGUAGGCCUGUUGUGGUGGAGACCUUGCAACUAGCCACAUGCUUCGGUAAGCCUGAACCCGGCUAUUCCAUACG